UGAGGAAUAUUGGGCAAUGCCCGCAAGGGUGACCCAGCAACGCCGCGUGGAGGAUGAAUGUCGUAAGAUUGUAAACUCCUGUUAGAGGGGAAGAAUAGUACCGGUUGGACCGGUAUAUGACUGUACCCUCAGAGAAAGCCCCGGCUAACUACGUGCCAGCAGCCGCGGUCAUACGUAGGGGGCAAGCGUUGUCCGGAUUUACUGGGUGUAAAGGGCGCGCAGGCGGGAUAAAAAGUCAGUGGUGAAAUCCUACAGCUUAACUGUAGAACUGCCUUUGAUACUUUUAUUCUUGAGUUCGGGAGAGGGAGACGGAAUUCCAGGUGUAGUGGUGAAAUACGUAGAUAUCUGGAAGAACACCAGUUGCGAAGGCGGUCUCUUGGUCCGACACUGACGCUGAGGCGCGAAAGCGUGGGGAGCAAAC
Molecule: ribosomal RNA, 421 nt
Filed under: uncultured bacterium
Lineage: Bacteria
Description: bacterial SSU rRNA
Rfam family: Bacterial small subunit ribosomal RNA
Source: RNAcentral